Molecule: ribosomal RNA, 253 nt
Filed under: uncultured bacterium
Lineage: Bacteria
Description: partial 16S ribosomal RNA
Rfam family: Bacterial small subunit ribosomal RNA
Source: RNAcentral
UACGAAGGGGGCUAGCGUUGCUCGGAAUUACUGGGCGUAAAGCGCACGUAGGCGGACUUUUAAGUCGGGGGUGAAAUCCUGGAGCUCAACUCCAGAACUGCCUUUGAUACUGAAAACCUUGAGUUCGGGAGAGGUGAGUGGAACUCCUAGUGUAGAGGUGAAAUUCGUAGAUAUUAGGAAGAACACCAGUGGCGAAGGCGGCUCACUGGCCCGAUACUGACGCUGAGGUGCGAAAGCGUGGGGAGCAAACAGG